RNAcentral lists this long non-coding RNA (573 nucleotides) under Physcomitrium patens. Its description in RNAcentral is "long non-coding RNA (PPAT_LNC003404)". Lineage: Eukaryota; Viridiplantae; Streptophyta; Bryopsida; Funariales; Funariaceae. The record is from RNAcentral.
AGGGUUUGAUUUAGGAUUAGGAUUUAGUUAAGAUUUGAUUUAGGAUUUAUGAUUUGAUUUAGGGUUUAAGGUUUUGUUAAGAUUUGGUUUAGGAUUUAGGAUUUAGAGUUAAGAUUUAGUUAGGAUUUGAUUUAGGAUUAGAGUUUGGUUUAGGAUUUAGGAUUUGAUUAGGAUUUAUUUUAGGAUUUAGGGUUUAAGAUUUGGUAUAGGAUUUAGAAUUUGGUUAGGGUUUGAUUAAGAUUUGGUUUAGAGUUUAGGAUUUAAGAUUUGAUUUAGGAUUUAGGAUUUUAUUAGGAUUUAUUUAAGAUUUAAGAUUUAAUUAUUUUUUGGCCUAAAAUUUGAAUAAAGUCCAAUAGGAUUUUAAUUAGGAUUAAAAUAAGAUUGAGUUGAGAUGUAUUUGAGAUAUAUUUGUGAUCAUUCUAAUUUUUCUUUAAUAUUUCUUAUUGUUUCUUUGUAAUUCCUUUUAGGUUUCUUUGAAUUUGAUUAAAGCUUACUUGAUAUUUUUAUAGUCUAAUUAGAGUUUAGUUAGUAUUAUAUUAGAGUUAGGAUUUUUUUGUUGCAAUUUUCAUUCUA